Bison bison bison is the source of this 132-nucleotide small nucleolar RNA. Its record names the gene SNORA72. It matches the Rfam family "Small nucleolar RNA SNORA72". From Rfam's summary of the family: U72 is a member of the H/ACA class of snoRNAs. The snoRNA gene is located in intron 4 of the ribosomal L30 protein gene in human, mouse and chicken. The record is from Ensembl. NCBI's taxonomy places the organism in Eukaryota, Metazoa, Chordata, Mammalia, Artiodactyla, Bovidae.
CUGCGAAUAUUCUCGCUCCUCUAACUUUGUAAUAAUUUGGGCAGGCUAAACAUGUGCUACACUGAGACCAUGUUUGUGUCUCCAGACCUAGAUCUUUCCUUAGUUCUGGUUUUAUAAAUGCCGGUAGUAAAU